Non-coding RNA from Apodemus sylvaticus (European woodmouse), 1180 nucleotides. NCBI's taxonomy places the organism in Eukaryota, Metazoa, Chordata, Mammalia, Rodentia, Muridae. The record is from the annotation of a RefSeq genome assembly.
AUGAACAAGAGGCCCAGUUCCUAUGAAACCUCUCCAAUGAGGUGGUCAGGAAAGAGUGGGCAUAAUCACUCAGCCUUAGCCAGCCCAGGGACCCCCGAAGGCCCAGCCAAACCAACACCCCCAUCUGUCUAUCCCCUGGCUCCUGGAGCUACUGUCACAACCAACUCCAUGGUGACCCUGGGAUGCCUGGUCAAAGGCUUUUUCCCUGAGCCAGUGACUGUGACCUGGAACUCUGGAGCCCUGUCCAGCGGUGUGCACACCUACCCAGCUGCCCUGCAGUCUGGACUCUACACUCUCAGCAGUACCGUGACUGUACCCUCCAGCACCUGGCCCAGCCAGACUGUCACCUGCAAUGUAGACCACCCGGCCAGCAGCACCAAGGUGGACAAGACCAUUGUGCCCAGGGACCCCAAAGGUGGUUGCAAGCCCUGCAAGUGUGCAGUUCCAGAAGUAUCAUCUGUAUUCCUCUUCCCCCCAAAUCCCAAGGAUGUGCUCACCAUCACUCUGACUCCUAAGGUCACAUGUGUUGUGGUAGACAUUAGCCAGGAUGAUCCUGAGGUCCAGUUCAGUUGGUUUGUAGAUGACAUGGAAGUGCACACGGCUCAGACUCAACAACGGGAGGACCAGUUCAACAGCACUUUCCGCUCAGUCAGUCAACUCCAAAUCCAGCACCAGGACUGGCUCAGUGGCAAGGAGUUCACAUGCAAGGUCAACAGUGAGGCUUUCCCUGCCCCCAUCGAGAAAACCAUCUCCAAAGACAAAGGCAGACCACGGGCUCCUCAGGUGUACACCAUGCCACCUCCCAGGGAGCAGAUGACACAGAAUGUAGUCAGUCUGACCUGCAUGGUAUUGGGCUUCUUCCCUGAAGACAUUGCUGUGGAGUGGCAGAGGAACGGGCAGCCAGAGGAGAACUACAAGAACACUGAGCCCACUGUGGACACGGAUGGUUCUUACUUCCUCUACAGCAAGCUCGAUGUGAAGAAGAACAUUUGGGAGAGGGGAGAUACCUUCACCUGCUCUGUGUUACAUGAGGCCCUGCACAACCACCACACUGAGAAGAGCCUCACCCAAUCUCCUGGUAAAUGACCCCAGUGUCCUGUGAGCACUCUGGUCCUGAGGGACUCUGACACCUACCUCCACCCUUUCCUCAUGUAAAUAAAGCAUCCAGCAUGGCCUAGGA